GGCACUACUGCUCGCAGUGAAGUUGCUGGAGUUUGACUAACACAUCAACAUGGGUCUCAAUGAGUCUUUGUAGUGGAUGUUGGCGACAGUUGGUCCACUGUAGGAGUGGGAUGUGCAUCAAGAUGGGAUCUAUCGAUCCUAGCAGAAUGGAGUAGUCUUAUAGGAUUUAAGAGGCUAAGUCUUUAAGUCUAUGGCCAUAGCAAUGUGAUUGA
Molecule: long non-coding RNA, 212 nt
Filed under: Elaeis guineensis (African oil palm)
Lineage: Eukaryota; Viridiplantae; Streptophyta; Magnoliopsida; Arecales; Arecaceae
Description: long non-coding RNA (EGUI_LNC079883)
Source: RNAcentral